CUCGAUUGUUCGUGGUGUUGAUAGCUAACCUGUCACCAAACAUCAAAAUUCAAACCAGUCUGUUAUUCAUAUUUUGUUUGAGUAGGUAUACUAACUGUAGAAUAUUUACUCCUGAGCUCCUAAUUUAAUUGUUGAAAACAUUAGGUUUUGAUAUGUGCAGCAUACCAAUUUAAUAGUCUCAAAAUUCAGCGUUUCAUUGAUCAAGUUGGUACCAUACUGAAAACAAAAUGGAAAAGUUGACUGUUUUAUUUGUUGGUGUGGUGGUGAUGACGGUUUUUUUGCAACUGAUUACAACGAAUGCCCUUCCUAUUCCUGAAAGAGAUGGUAAUUGGAGUCCUUACUGAUCAUUCUGAACAGUGAAAUCGUGGAAAUGAUGUUAAUAGUACCUAUAUACCUACGUACCUAUACUUAAAUAAGAAUUAAGAACUGAAGUUUUGCAAGUUCUGAGCAGAAGUACCUAUUUUUGUUUCAGAGAUGAUUUGCAGGUAAAUAAAUUGUAAACUCAUGGUAAGUUUGAUUUUUAUUUGACGUUCAGCUUUGUAAAAAUAUUGUAAAACAAUUAAAACAAACGCUAACUAAGAAGAAUUCUUCGAGCCAAUAUUAUUUUAACUUAUUUUCUCGUCAGGCUGAAGUUCUUGAGCUUCAACAAAUUUUUUAAAUGAACAUUUUGUAAAAAACCUUACAAAUGAACUACAGAGGUAGCAGGUAAGUAGGUACAUAUUUAUAGGAUUUCUCACCUGAAAUUUUUUAGAGAUAGGUACCGAGGAUAAUUUCCUAUUACAAACCCACUUAUUCCAGUUUUUUAAAAAAAAUUGGAAAAUUUUUUGUAAGGAAAGUUUCUAAAAACCAUUUGCAUUUGGAAAGUGUUUGAGACAACUGACCUAAAUACCACACCUACCUACAGAAGAUUUUCUGUUUUAAAAACAAUCUAUUGCAUUUUUUUGUUUUGUUUUUAUCAAUCCCACAAAAGUAUUGAGCAUUGUAACUGAAAGAUAAUGAACGACGUAUCGGAUUAUUCAUUUUGAGGUUAAAAUGAACAUUUUAAAAUUACCUUGACUAACGCGUAGGUACAAAAUAUUAUCAUAAUUUGCUACAAAUAUUCAAGCAUGAUAGGUACCUACUAUUUUUCACCUUCGUUUUUAGUUGCUAGUUGCUACACGAGUACCCAGCACUUACUUACCUAUAAGUAUACGAAUAUAAUUUCAGCCCGUGAGAAUAAACUCGCGUUGCAAGAAAACAUGAAAUCACAUUUGUUUUCAUUUUUGUUUGCUAUACUGUGGGUUGUUCUUUUACAACUAAUGGCAAUGUCAGAAUCUACCGACUCACCUGAAGAAUGUUUACAGCAUACAAGGGAAGGAAAAAUCUGUUCAUGUGCUGGUGGUAGAUAAUUUAUCUGAUGGUAAAAAAUAAUUCAACGACGAGGGUAUACCUUGUAUGUAUUAACGCUCACUUGCUAAAAAUCUGGUAUUUUAUUUUAUUAUGAAUUUUUCAAUAAUAAUAAUGAGAUAUACACCUAUAAAUGCUAAUAAAGUUAACUUUAUGUUUAUGAAAUAAUAAAAAAUUUAAAAACACUUCAA
Molecule: long non-coding RNA, 1577 nt
Organism: Planococcus citri (citrus mealybug)
Lineage: Eukaryota; Metazoa; Arthropoda; Insecta; Hemiptera; Pseudococcidae
Exons: 2
Source: RefSeq, a predicted model, not a curated record